UGCAAGUCGAGGGGCAGCGGGAUUGAAGCUUGCUUCAAUCGCCGGCGACCGGCGCACGGGUGAGUAACGCGUAUCCAACCUUCCGUUUACUCAGGGAUAGCCUUUCGAAAGAAAGAUUAAUACCUGAUAGUAUGGUAAGAUUGCAUGGUAGUACCAUUAAAGAUUCAUUGGUAAACGAUGGGGAUGCGUUCCAUUAGGUAGUAGGCGGGGUAACGGCCCACCUAGCCGACGAUGGAUAGGGGUUCUGAGAGGAAGGUCCCCCACAUUGGAACUGAGACACGGUCCAAACUCC
Molecule: ribosomal RNA, 292 nt
Filed under: uncultured Bacteroides sp.
Lineage: Bacteria; Pseudomonadati; Bacteroidota; Bacteroidia; Bacteroidales; Bacteroidaceae
Description: partial 16S ribosomal RNA
Rfam family: Bacterial small subunit ribosomal RNA
Source: RNAcentral